AUGAACGCUGGCGGCGUGCCUCAUACAUGCAAGUCGAGCGAACAGACGAGGAGCUUGCUCCUCUGACGUUAGCGGCGGACGGGUGAGUAACACGUGGAUAACCUACCUAUAAGACUGGGAUAACUUCGGGAAACCGGAGCUAAUACCGGAUAAUAUAUUGAACCGCAUGGUUCAAUAGUGAAAGACGGUUUUGCUGUCACUUAUAGAUGGAUCCGCGCCGCAUUAGCUAGUUGGUAAGGUAACGGCUUACCAAGGCAACGAUGCGUAGCCGACCUGAGAGGGGGGACGGACAAACCGGGAAAGGAACCCGGGACCGACCACAAAGGGAGGGAGCAAGAGGGAAAUCUCCGGAAAGGGGAAAAACCAGAAAGAAGAAACGCGGGGAAGGUAAGAAAGGUCUUCGAAUAGAAAAACUUUUUUAUAGGAGAAAAAAAAUUGUGAAAGAAAUAAGGCACGUCUAGAGGAAACAAAAUAAGAAGACCACGACAAGCAAGGGC
Molecule: ribosomal RNA, 497 nt
Filed under: uncultured bacterium
Lineage: Bacteria
Description: partial 16S ribosomal RNA
Rfam family: Bacterial small subunit ribosomal RNA
Source: RNAcentral